This 271-nucleotide ribosomal RNA is filed under the name uncultured archaeon. Its description in RNAcentral is "partial 16S ribosomal RNA". It matches the Rfam family "Archaeal small subunit ribosomal RNA", at positions 477 to 747 of the family's 1478-position model. The record is from RNAcentral.
CAGCGCCCCGAGUGGCAAUCACGAUUAUUGGGCCUAAAGCGUUCGUAGCCGGUUUGGUAAAUCCUUUGUGAAAUCGUCAUGCUUAACAUGACGGCGUGCAGGGGAGACUGCUAGACUAGGGACCGGGAGGAGUCAGAGGUAUGCCUUGGGGACUGGUAAAAUGGUAUAAUCCAAGGUAGACCGCCGAUGGCGAAGGCAUCUGACUAGAACGGAUCCGACGGUGAGGAACGAAAGCCAGGGGAGCGAACCGGAUUAGAUACCCGAGUAGUCC